RNAcentral lists this long non-coding RNA (203 nucleotides) under Elaeis guineensis (African oil palm). RNAcentral's name for it is "long non-coding RNA (EGUI_LNC047273)". Lineage: Eukaryota; Viridiplantae; Streptophyta; Magnoliopsida; Arecales; Arecaceae. The record is from RNAcentral.
UUAUGUCUCCUCAUCUAAACUUGAGUCUUCACUAUCACUUCAAAUAGUCAUCAUUGUCUUCUUCUUCACUUUCUUGGAGGAUUUCUUUUGUAAAGGACAGUCAAACUUGAAAUGAUCCAAUUUCUUAUACUCAAAGCAUGUGGGUGGCUCUUUGUCUUUAUCUUUCUCUCGAUCUUUGCUAGCCUCACCUUUGGAGAAGGGUC